GUUUCACUAAGGGCUCAUAAUUAAUUGUAUGUUUCGUUUGCACUCUUUGACCCCUCUUCACGGAGCGUGUGUCUUAGAAAUUGCAGCGUGCGUACUUUUGGGUCCUGAAAGCAACGAACGUGACCGCAACCUCUUGUUGCCUUUAUUACCAAACGCAAUCUAAAGACUUCGGUCUUUGUUGCAAAAAAAGGCUUUCUAAACUAGAGGGACCGCUGUUACUUUCUUAAACCAGAGGAAGGUUGCGGCAAUAACAGGUCUGUGAUGCCCUUAGAUGUUCCGGGCUGCACACGUGCUACAAUGAUCAGUACAGUGAGCAUCUCAUUUUUUAUACACCGCAUGCGCGAGUCCAUUUAUUCACCUUCUGGGUGCUUUAAAUGUGUAUCUCUGCGCGCGGUAAAGCCUGCUUCGAAAGUAAGUGGGUAAUCAAUUAGAAGUAAUGAUUUCCUUUUUAGCACACAUAUAUACGGCAUUUAUGCCCGGGCUGCCUUGUUGUAGCUUUUGUGCGCAUAAGUGUUUUUUCCGUAUGUGCGAUUGUCAAUUCAUGGUGGGGACAGACCAUUGUUAAUUGUUGGUCUCGGUCUUAACUA
RNAcentral lists this ribosomal RNA (587 nucleotides) under Globorotaloides hexagonus. RNAcentral describes it as "SSU rRNA". The stretch from base 1 to 426 matches the Rfam family "Eukaryotic small subunit ribosomal RNA", at positions 1313 to 1606 of the family's 1831-position model. Lineage: Eukaryota; Foraminifera; Rotaliida; Globigerinidae. The record is from RNAcentral.